This 395-nucleotide unclassified non-coding RNA is filed under the name soil metagenome. RNAcentral describes it as "partial contains 5.8S ribosomal RNA, internal transcribed spacer 2, and large subunit ribosomal RNA". The stretch from base 1 to 120 matches the Rfam family "5.8S ribosomal RNA", at positions 35 to 154 of the family's 154-position model. The record is from RNAcentral.
GAUGAAGAACGCAGUGAAAUGCGAUAAGUAAUGUGAAUUGCAGAAUUCAGUGAAUCAUCGAAUCUUUGAACGCACCUUGCGCUCCUUGGUAUUCCGAGGAGCAUGCCUGUUUGAGUGUCAUUAAAUUCUCAACCAUUAUCAACUUUUGCUGAUAAUGGCUUGGAUGUGGGGGUCUAUUUUGCUGGCUUCUCAGAUAGUCAGCUCCCCUUAAAUGCAUUAGCCGGUGCCCCGCGUGGACUGUCUAUUGGUGUGAUAAUUAUCUACGCUAUGGACAUCUGCAAUCAUAUGGGUUUGCGCUGCUUCUAACAGUCUGUUGAUUCAGACAAUACAUGACAAUUUGACCUCAAAUCAGGUAGGACUACCCGCUGAACUUAAGCAUAUCAAUAAGCGGAGGA